CUUACAAAUCAUUGGCUCAGGCUGACGGAUGCUUGUCCUGGUCAUCCCCAGACAAAUAAAUAAAUACACAUUUUCUAUAGCGAUCAAGACCUGGCAUGCGCAGACUGCCAAGCCACCACCAACUAACUUUGAUUAAACGAGGAAACCGGUCUACUUGUUGAAAAUGUGGUAAUCAGAGAGUUUCCACCCAGCCGGGAAGCCCAGUCCUGAGGGGGAGGGGAGCCUCCCUUGCAGCCGGCCUCGCUCCCCAUCCUGAAGAAAGUGAGAAUGCACAGGCCGCCCUCGACCUCCAGCCUGAAGAUGCCCGAGGAGCCCUGAAAGGCAGGCCGCCUCCAGCGUCUCCCAGACCAAGGCUUGCUCGAGCCAGGUGGACCGGCAAACUCUGGGAGAGGGACUCUCCAGGCUCCAGACACUGUGCCUCCACUUCCAGAGGUAAUUGCUGCUGUUUAUUUUCAUCCUAUAUUAUGAUGAUGUUUUAUAGAGGAUUUAAAAUGGUGAGAGGCUGGAGUGGAUGGAGAAACUUAAUAGAAAAGAGAGCGGCGGUGUUGCCUGGAGGGGCUGGUGAUCCGACUUCAUUUCGAGCAUUCAGUCGUGUUAAAAGGGCUGCCCCGGUUUCCUUCUCAAAUGUCCUUUGUAGUUUGCAAAAGCUGGCAGGUUCGCCUAACUUUUUCAUUUUCUUUUCCUGCUAACUCCUCGCUGCAGUUUUUCAGGUUUUCCUGCUCUGAACACUGAAUUCUUUUAAGUCGGAGUAUCUAUGUUGGCUUCAUGUCAGCUCCAGGGAUUUACAUACAGUGUCCAGAUUGUUUUUCUGUCAUAGUUCCACGGUAAAAAUGAACUUGCAACGUACGAUCAGGCUGCUUUCUGUUCUUGUAAUGAAGGGAAAAAAAAUCAAACGAUGAUCCCAAGACCUGUUAAAAUAUAGCGAACGGGAAGGGGGUUUUGUUUGUUUUGUUAUUAGAUCUGAGAAGCCUGUGGAAGGCAAGGAUCUGGAGAGAAAAUCAGAAGUUAGCUAAACGGAGAGGUCUGCUAUCACGAGGAUUAAAUCAGAGAUAAUGGUGCUAUUUUAUAAGCGCACACUGGGAAAUCUGUCUUAAGGAGGGCUGGUCUGUUUGGAUAAUGGUGAAAAAUGAGGUGUAGCUGAUGUUUGUCGCUUUACAAAGAGGUGAGGUGGGCUCCCCCCCCCCCC
Molecule: long non-coding RNA, 1186 nt
Organism: Talpa occidentalis (Iberian mole)
Lineage: Eukaryota; Metazoa; Chordata; Mammalia; Eulipotyphla; Talpidae
Exons: 3
Source: RefSeq, a predicted model, not a curated record